Molecule: ribosomal RNA, 401 nt
Filed under: uncultured bacterium
Lineage: Bacteria
Description: bacterial SSU rRNA
Rfam family: Bacterial small subunit ribosomal RNA
Source: RNAcentral
UGGGGAAUUUUGGACAAUGGGCGAAAGCCUGAUCCAGCAAUGCCGCGUGGGUGAAGAAGGUCUUCGGAUUGUAAAGCCCUUUCGACGGGGAUGAUGAUGACGGUACCCGUAGAAGAAGCCCCGGCUAACUUCGUGCCAGCAGCCGCGGUAAUACGAAGGGGGCUAGCGUUGCUCGGAAUGACUGGGCGUAAAGGGCGCGUAGGCGGCUUGCACAGUCAGGCGUGAAAUUCCUGGGCUCAACCUAGGGACUGCGCUUGAGACGUGUGGGCUUGAGUGGGGAAGAGGGUCGUGGAAUUCCCAGUGUAGAGGUGAAAUUCGUAGAUAUUGGGAAGAACACCGGUGGCGAAGGCGGCGACCUGGUCCUUGACUGACGCUGAGGCGCGAAAGCGUGGGGAGCAAAC